Molecule: ribosomal RNA, 549 nt
Filed under: uncultured Pseudomonadaceae bacterium
Lineage: Bacteria; Pseudomonadati; Pseudomonadota; Gammaproteobacteria; Pseudomonadales; Pseudomonadaceae
Description: SSU rRNA
Rfam family: Bacterial small subunit ribosomal RNA
Source: RNAcentral
AUUGAACGCUGGCGGCAGGCCUAACACAUGCAAGUCGAGCGGAUGAAGGGAGCUUGCUCCUGGAUUCAGCGGCGGACGGGUGAGUAAUGCCUAGGAAUCUGCCUGGUAGUGGGGGAUAACGUCCGGAAACGGGCGCUAAUACCGCAUACGUCCUGAGGGAGAAAGUGGGGGAUCUUCGGACCUCACGCUAUCAGAUGAGCCUAGGUCGGAUUAGCUAGUUGGUGGGGUAAAGGCCUACCAAGGCGACGAUCCGUAACUGGUCUGAGAGGAUGAUCAGUCACACUGGAACUGAGACACGGUCCAGACUCCUACGGGAGGCAGCAGUGGGGAAUAUUGGACAAUGGGCGAAAGCCUGAUCCAGCCAUGCCGCGUGUGUGAAGAAGGUCUUCGGAUUGUAAAGCACUUUAAGUUGGGAGGAAGGGCAGUAAGUUAAUACCUUGCUGUUUUGACGUUACCAACAGAAUAAGCACCGGCUAACUUCGUGCCAGCAGCCGCGGUAAUACGAAGGGUGCAAGCGUUAAUCGGAAUUACUGGGCGUAAAGCGCGCGU